This 15174-nucleotide long non-coding RNA is filed under the name Lupinus angustifolius (narrow-leaved blue lupine). Its description in RNAcentral is "long non-coding RNA (LANG_LNC000063)". Lineage: Eukaryota; Viridiplantae; Streptophyta; Magnoliopsida; Fabales; Fabaceae. The record is from RNAcentral.
GUCAUCGAAGCUCAGUUCUUGCCUGAAAGUCACAAAAAGAACAUCUUUAUCAAAAUAAGACUUAAGACAUUGAAUUUGAGACAAAACAACAAGUAAGUUCAAAUUCAAUUCAAAAAUUCAAUUCUCUAAUUCUACUCAAUUCUUCUUUCUUCUUCUAAACCUAAUUACCCAAACACUCAUCAACCAAACACAUCAAGGCCGAAACACUAAACCUACAAACCUACAAAAUCGUGACCUAAAAACACUCUUACCCUACAUACACCAAAUAGACGUGACCUAAAACACCUAUACCCUCCAAAACCCAAACAAGUCGAGACACAAUCAUCCCAAAUAACCUACAAACCUACAAACUGAAACACUCAAAUACCUUACCCUACAAAAAACCACCCAAACCGAAACCCUAACCUACAAAUCUAUCCCAAACAGAACCAAACACAAUCAUUUACCCUACACACAAUCCAGCCGAGCCACAAACAAAAUCUAUUUAUAAUUUUGUGAACUUGUCACACAAUUUUGGUACUUAACUUGAUUACUUGACUCACUCAAGAAUCAAAGGAGAAAAUUUCAAAGAAAAGUGAGGGAGUGAAACCGAUGUGAAUAUGAUUAGACCUCAUAUUAAACAUGUAUAUGCGAGGAAAAAUAAAAGGGUGGAAUGGUAAUUCUUUAUGUUUUUGGUUGUAAGUAGUUAGGAAGGGAAAUUCUAUAAAAGGAAAGUUGUUGAAUGAGUGAGUUAGUUUUUUGGAAAUUAAGAAAUGAGGGAAAUAAUUGAUUUCAGGGAAAUCAGAAACCCUAGGCGUUCUAUUCCAAUUGGUGUAAGUUCUCAAUUGAAUUCUACAAUUGCAAUACAAACAAUUCAAGAUCACAUUGAUCUUGAAUCAUUCUUUUCUACCUAUCUCUAUUCUUCCAUUCUAUUAUACCAGUUGUAUCAGCAAUAUGUCAAGGUUCUUGUGAGACCCAAAAUGACCCAUCAACCCCCCUCAUUGGCUUCUCUCAAAAGUAAGUCCCUCACAGAACUCUUCGGCACACAAAGCCUUUUGUCUUUAUAAAGGAACCCUUCAUGGGCUAAAAUCAUGCAUUUGGCAUAUGGUUCAGCAAAGUCAGGGUCAUGUUCAUAUAAACCCUUUAAGCAUUCGAGACUCAUUAGUUUGGCCUCUAAAGUAGUAAUUAAGGCAUGCCUUCUUAAUAAGGCAUCAGCCACCAUAUUAACUUUUCCCUUCUUGUGUUUAAACCACAUAGGGAAAUUGCUCUAAAAAUUCCACCCACUUGGUAUGUCUCAUGUUGAGCUUGCCUUGCCCUUUUAAAUACUUAAGUGACUCGUGGUCACUAUGAAUAACAAAUUCUUUGGGCAUAAGAUAAUCUUGCCAAGUUUGCAAGGCUCUCACUAAUGCAUAAAUCUCUUUAUCAUAAGUAGAGUAGUUAAGGGAAACUCCCCCUAACUUCUCACUAAAAUAGACAAUAGGAUGCCCAUCUUGCAUUAGAACAGCACCAAUUCCCACAUUGGAAGCAUCACACUCAAUUUCAAAAGAUUUUGCAAAAUUUGGCAAUCUUAGUAUAGGGGGCGUGUAUGAGCUUUUCUAUUAUCCUCUUGAAGGCAUCUUCUUAUUUUUCUCCCCAAUGGAAUCCCACAUUCUUUUUUACCACUUCAUUUAGAAGUGCGACCAAGGUACUAAAAUCCUUGACAAACCUCUUAUAAAAACUAGCUAGUCCAUGAAAACUUCUUACAUCUGUGGUACUCUUUAGGGUACGCCAUUCCUGGAUAGCCUUUAUUUUCUCAGGAUCUACGUGUACCACAUUGACACUAAUAAUGAAACCAAAGAUUAUUACGUGAUCAACACAGAAGUUGCACUUCUCAGGGUUAGUGUAUAGCUUUUUUUUCCUUAAUAUAAGCAAAACAAUUUUUAGGUGUUCAUAAUGCUCAUCAAGACUCUUGCUAUAUAUAAGGAUGUCAUCAAAGUACACAAUUACAAAUUUCCCAAGGAAAUCUCUUAGAACGUGGUUCAUAAGCCUCAUAAAUGUGUUUGGCACAUUGGUUAAGCCAAAAGGCAUAACCAUCCACUCAUACAAGCCAUAUUUUGUUUUAAAGAUUGUUUCCACUCAUCCCCUUCCCUAAUCCGAAUUUGAUGGUACCGACUCUUCAAAUCCACUUUUGAAAAUAUGCAGGCCCCACUCUUCAAAUCCACAAAAGUAAGUACAUGGACUGUCUUGUGAUCAAGGCAUGUUUUAGUUCACCCUUUGUGACAAAAUAACUCUUUUUAGGAUCAUUUCGAUCAUUCUUUUUCACUUGUCUAGGGUCUAUGGUUUCAGACGUGUCCUCUUUUGUACUUUUAUUCUACAUUAAUCAUCACUCACUUGCUUUUGAGACAAGGGUGAUAAGACCAUUUUAUGAUUAUGAUGCAUAAACAUGUACUUAUUAGAACGAGCAUCAUAGUUGCCAUUCUUAUCAUACUGCCAUGGUCUACUCAAAAGCAUAUGGUUGGCCUCCAUGUUUACCACAUCACAAAGGACUAUGUCCUCAUAUUUUCCAAAAGAAAAAGGCACUCUAGUCUGAUUAUUAACGACCAUCUCCCCAACAUCACUAAGCCAUUGCAGUCUAUAUGGUGUUGGGUGUGCCUUGGUGUUAAGCUUUAACUUAGACACCAAUCUUGUACUAACCACGUUCGCACAACUCUGUCCAUCAAUGAUGAGGGUACAAACAUUACUUUUCACAAGGCAGCGAGAGUGAAAUAUGUUCUCUUUUUUAUUCUACUCAUGGUCUCAGUUUUGAUUCCCAAGGAUCCUUCUAACCAUGAGUAUAUCACCAUCGGGUACAUAAAGAACACCUUCACUAUCAUGUUCCUCAUCACUAGAUGCCUCAGAUUGAGACUCAAUAUCUCUAUUUAGGACCACCAUAGUUCUCAUCGUGGGGCAUUGAGAAGCAAUAUGGCCACGACCCAAGCCUUUGAAGCACUUGAUGGCAUGGCUUCUUUAAUUAGGAUCCAAAGGUUAUUUGUCUUGAGACUUGGCUGCUCUCACGACCUCUUUAGUGAUAUGGCCACUCUCCUUUGUUGCAUUGUCCUCCUUCUUAGAUUUGUCCUUCCAAGUAUUAGAUGAAUACUUGGAUGCUGAAUUAGAAGAGUACUUAGACUUCCUCCUCUUUAGUUGUUGUUCCUCCUUGAUGGCCUUUUGAACAAGAUCAUCUAACUCAACAUAAGGCUAUAGCUCCAUAACAUUUUGUAUCUCAGGGUUCAACCCAUGUAGGAAUCGAGCCAAUGUAGCUUCUUAGUCCUCAUGGAAGUUGGACCUAAGUAGGGCCAGCUCCAUCUCUUUGAAGUACUCAUCAACUAAUUUGCCUCCUUGAGUUAGCCUUUGUAAGUUAUUGUGCACAUCGCUUUGGUAAGAACUAGGGACAAUUCUCCACCUAAUCACCAUCUUCAUCUCUCCCCAAGUGUUUACUACAUCUUCAUCAUAUAUUCUUCUCUCCUUUUGGAUCUGGCCCCACCACACCGUAACAUAUUUCUUAAACUCUGAUGCAACCACCUUCACCUUUUUCUCUUCACUAUAAUGGUGACAUUUGGACACUUGCUCCAUUUUUAAUUCCAACUCAUGAUAGGCCUCUAGGUUAUUUAGUCCUAAGAAUGUAAGGACUUUUAUUUUGACCCCCUCUAACCUUUCCUCCCUCCUCCUUUCACCACGACCUCCCUCAUAAUCAUCAUAUCUCUCUCUCCUAUGGCCUCCCUCAUACUCCUCCUCCUCAUGUCUCCAUCUCCUCGCACCACGACCUUUAUCCUCCUCACGCCUCCCUCUUCUAUUUCUCCUCCUCUUAUGGUGUACAUCACUACUAGAAUCACCAUCCAGCCUCUUAUCAACAUGUAUUAUCAUUUGAUCCAUUUUCUCUAUAAAGCCUGCAAUUGGGUGUUCAUCAUAGCAUCUAACACAACUGUCCUUGGUGAUAAUGGUGAACCGCUAUCUUCUGGACUAGUCAUAUUACUACUCUCCUCACUUUUAUAUCAAGUGUUUAUGGUUUCACUCCCUCACUUUUCUCUCAAGUGUUUAAGUAUUUAUGAUGUGAAGCUCUUUUUGAAGUUCUCGAUAAUGAUUUAUCUUGAUUGGUGCAUUACUUUGCCCACAUUUUUCUGGGCUAUUUUGAUGGUUAAUUUUGGUAACGGAUUGAUAUUGUAAGAUAAAAGAAGAUGGGUAAGAAAUGAGGUGGUAGGCGCCAUAACACUUGAGUGUUGAUAAGUCGGGUGAUGUUCGCCACAAGAACUAGGUUCUUGAAAGAACUUUUAAUCUUGGUUCAGCCAAUAAGUUUGGAGAAGACAAAACUCUCACACAAGGAAAUAUUUCUCAAUUUUUAACUCAAAACAAAACUUGGUUUCCAUUCAGCAAAAUGAAAGUACACUUAUAGGCAAACCAUGAUGGUUCCCACGUGACCCUCGUAUGGAUUAAGACUCAUUUUGGGCUAGAUUAAUCCUACUUCAUGGCUGGUUACAUUGGAUCCUUUUCCAGUCAUGCUUGACAUGAAAUAAAGCAAGUAAAUAUCCCACAUGGGAAUUCCUAAGUAAUUAAAUUCCAAAAUGUAAGAUACACUUUAGCCUAGGAUUCCUUAAUUCUUUGGAGAAAUUUGGCCAUCAUUGAAUGCCAGGGUCCCCACGAGUUUAAGGAAGCAAUUUGGACUUUGAAUUGUGCAUUUAGACUUGGCUGGAUGCAUUGCACGAAAAUCACAUCCACACUUGUCAUGAUCUUGGAGCACUCUCCUUGAUGCCUUUCAUGAGUAAUCCUAGUGCAUCUUGCAUCUCAUGAGCAACUUCAUCUCAACCCAUGAAUCAAUAGGCUUGGAUCCUUCCUCCUUCUUCUUGCUUUCCUCCUUCUUCCUCAUCACUUCAGUAAUUGUUUGCACGAUCCUUCUUCCUCUCCAAACCUUAAGAAGGGAGAUGGAGCAAAUGAGAGUGGAAUAUGAUAUAAGGCUUGGUUAUCGUGCAAACGAUUACUGAAGUGAUGAGGAAGAAGGAGGAAGGAGGAGAGCAAGAAGAAGAAGGAAGGAACCGAGCCUAUUGAUUCAUGGGUUGAGAUGAAGUUGCUCAUGAGAUGCAAGAUGCACUAGGAUUACUCAUGAAAGGCAUCAAGGAGAGUGCUCCAAGAUCAUGACAAGUGUGGGUGUGAAUUUCGUGCAAUGCAUCUAGCUAAGUCUAAAUGUACAAUUCAAAGUUCAAAUUGCUUCCUUAAACACGUGGGGACCAUGACAUUGAAUGAUGGCCGAAUUUCUCCAAAGAAUUAAGGAAUCCUAGGCUAAACUGCAUCACUUCUUCAUGGAAAUUCAAAGUAUCUUGCAUUUUGUAAUCUAAUUACUUAGGAAUUUUCAUGUGGGAUAUUUACUUGCUUUAUUUCGUGUCAACCAUUUCUAGAAAAGGAUCCAAUGUAACCAGCCAUGAAGUAUGAUUAAUCUAGCCCAAAAGUAGUCUUAAUCCAUAGGAGGGUCAUGUGGGAACCAUCAUGGUUUGCUUAUAAGUGUACUUCCAUUUGGCUGAAUGGAAACCAAGUUUUGUUUUGGGUUAAAAAUUGAGGAAUAUUUCCUUGUGAGAAAGCUUUGUCUUCUCCAAACUUCUUGGAUGAACCAAGAUUAAAAGUUCUUAACAAGAACCAAGUUCUUGUGGCGAACAUCACCCGACUUAUUAACACCCAAGUGUUGUUGCGCCUACCACCCCAUUUCUUACCCAUCUUCUUUUAUCUUACAAUAUCAAUCCGCUGCCAAAAUUCACCAUCAAAAUAACUCAAAAAAACGUGGGCAAAGUAAAGCAUCAAUCAAGAUAGAUCAUUAUCAAGAACUUCCAAAAGAGGUUCACAUCAGAAAUACUUAAACACUUGAGAGAAAAGUGAGAGAGUGAAACACUAAACACUUGAUAGAAAAGUGAGGAGAGUAGUAUUAUACCUAGUCCAGAAGAUAGUGGUUCACCAUUAUUACCAAGGACAACCGUGUUACAUGCUAUGAAGAACACCCAAUUUCAGGCUUUAUAGAGACAAAUGGAUCAAAUGAGCAUACAUGUUGAUAGGAGGUUGGAUGGUGAUUCUAGUAGUGAUGUAGACCAUAGGAGGAGGAGGAGGAGAAAUAGGAGAGGGAGGCGUGAGGAGGAUGAGGGCCGUGGUGAGAGGAGAGGGGGACAUGAGCAGGAUAAGUAUAAGGGAGGCCAUAGGAGAGGGAGAUAUGAGGAUGAUGAUUAUGACGGAGGCCGUGGUGAAAGGAGGAGGGAGGAAAGGUUAGAGGGGGUCAAAAUAAAAGUCCAUACAUUCUUAGGACUAAAUAACCUAGAGGCCUAUCAUGAGCGGGAAUUAAAAAUGGAGCAAAUGUUCGAAUGUCACCAUUAUAGUGAGGAGAAAAAGGUGAAGGUGGCUGCCAUAGAGUUUAAGGAGUAUGCUAUGAUAUGGUGGGACCAGUUCCAAAAGGAAAGAAGGAGAUAUGAUGAAGAUGUAGUAAACACUUGGGGAGGGAUGAAGAUGGUGAUGAGGAAUUGAUUUGUCCCUAGUUCUUACCAAAGGGAUGUGCAUAAUAAAUUACAAAGGUUAACUCAAGGAGGCAAAUCAGUUGAUGAGUACUUCAAAGAGACGGAGUUGGCCCUACUUAUGUCCAACAUCCAUGAGGACUAAGAAGCUACAAUGGCUCGGUUCCUACAUGGGUUGAACCCUAAGAUACAGGACGUUGUGGAGCUACAGCCUUAUGUUGAGUUAGAUGAUCUUGUUCAAAAGGCCAUCAAGGGGAACAACAACUAAAGAGGAGGAAGUCUAAGUACUAUUCUAAGUUAGCAUCCAUUCAUCUAAUACUUGGAAGGACAAAUCUAAUAAGGAGGGCAAUGCAACAAAUGAGAGUGGCCCUAACACUAAAGAGGUCGUGGUGACAGCCAAGCCCCAAGGCAAACAACCUAUGGAUCCCAAUGAAAGAAGUCGUGACAUCAAGUGCUUCAAAUGUUUGGGUCGUGGCCAUAUUGCUUCUCAAUGCCCCACGAGGAGAACUAUGAAGGUCCUAAAUGGAGAUAUUGAGUCUCAAUCUGAGGCAUCUAGUGAUGAGGAACAUGAUAGUGAGGGUGAUCUUUAUAUGCCUGGUGGUGAUAUACUCAUGGUUAGAAGGCUCCAAGGGAGUCAAAACUGAGAUCAUGAGGAGAAUCAAAGAGAGAACAUAUUUCACUCUCAUUGCCUUGUGAAAUGUAAUGUUUGUACCCUCCUCAUUGAUUGAUGGAGUUGUGCUAACAUGGUUAGUACAAUAUUAGUGUCUAAGUUAAAGCUUAACACCAAGGCACACCGAACACCAUAUAGGCUGCAAUGACUUAGUGAUGUUGGGGAUAUGGUCGUUAAUAAACAGGCUGAAGUGCAUUUUUCUAUUGGAAAAUAUGAGGAUGUAGUCCUCUGUGAUGUGGAAAACAUGGGGGUCAGCUAUAUGCUUUUGGGUAGACCAUGACAUUACGAUAAGAAUGCCAACCAUGAUGGUUGUUCUAAUAAGUACACGUUUAUGCAUCAUAAUCAUAAAAUGGUCUUAUCAUCCAUGUCUCCAAAGCAAGUGAGUGAUGAUCAGUGUAGGCUGAAAGAAAAGAUAGACCAAGAAAAGAAAGAGGCCACGACUGAAACCAUAGACCAUAGUCAAGUCAAAAAGAAUGAUCGAAAGGAUCCUAAAAUGAGUUAUUUUGUCACAAAAGGUGAAGUAAAACAUGUCUUGAUCACAAGGAAGCCCAUAUACUUACUUUUGUGCAAAAGCUUUUGCUUGAGUAGCACGACUAUUGAGAAGACUACUAUGCCUCAAUUCUUGAAAGACUUCUUGAAUGAGUUCAAUGAUGUGUUCCCUGAAGAAGUCCCUAGUGGCCUUCCACCUUGGAGGGGCAUAAAAAAUCAUAUUGGCCUAAUUGUUGGUGCUUUAUUGCCCAAUGGGCCUGCCUAUAGGAGCAACCCUCAAGAAACUCACGAAAUACAAAAACAAGUUGAGAAGUUUAUGCACAAAGGAUGGGUCCAAGAAAGUCUAAGUCCUUGUUUCGUCCCAGUCAUCCUAGUCCCAAAGAAAAAUGGAGCCUGGAGGAUGUGCACUGAUUGUAAGGCCAUAAACAACAUCACGAUCAAGUAUAGACAUCCCAUUCCUAGAUUGGAUGAUCUCCUAGAAGAAUUACGUGGGGCCUCCAUCUUUUCAAAAGUGGAUUUGAAGAGUGGGUACAAUCAAAUUUGGCACACAAAGCCUUUUGUCUUUAAAAAGGAACCCUACAUGGGCUAAAAUCAUGCAUUUGGCAUAUGGUUCAGCAAAGUCAGGGUCAUGUUCAUAUAAACCCUUUAAGCAUUCGAGACUCAUUAGUUUGGUCUCUAAAGUAGAAAUUAAGGCAUGCCUUCUUGAUAAGGCAUCACCCACCACAUUAAAUUUUCCCUUCUUGUGUUUAACCACAUAGGGAAAUUGCUCUAAAAAUUUCACCCACUUGGCAUGUCUCCUGUUGAGCUUGUCUUGCACUUUUAAAUACUUAAGUGACUUGUGGUCACCAUGAAUAAAAAAUUCUUAGGGCAGAAGAUAAUGUUGCCAAGUUUGCAAGGCCCUCACUAAUGCAUAAAGGUCUUUAUCGUAAGUGGAGUAGUUAAGGGAAGCUCCCCCAACUUCUCACUAAAAUAGGAAAUAAGAUGCCCAUCUUGCGUUAGAACAACACCAAUUCCCAAAUCCACUUUUGAACAAACUAUGACCAAAACUUCACAAAUCAAGUAUACAAAUAAAUCAAAUUGAGGCCUUCUAAGGCAAAGUUACUACAAGUGUUCAAUCAAACAUCAAGUGAAUCAAUUAUCAAUCAAAUUAGGACUUUCACAAAAAAACGAUCUUACAAGCAAAGACAACCCACAAAGAGGUUGUCAUCAUAAACCGCCACAAAUCAAACCCCCAAUGAAAAGCCCAACCAAACGUGGGAAAGUUUUUGCUAUGAGCGGAGUCGAAGCGAAGGAGUCGCCAGACCUUAUACAAGGUAAGUGCCUGAUAAAUGGAAUUCCCUAUAUGGUUCUAUAUGAUUCAUGAGCUACACAUUCCUUCUUAGCAUAUAGUUGUGUACAAUGAGUAGGAUUGAAGAUCGCUCUUUUGCCCUAUAAGUUAGUCGUAGAAGCGCCUAUGAAAACUUUGGUGAUGACGUCCAAGGCAUGCCUGCAAUGCCUAAUUGUGAUUUAGGAAAGAGCCUUUAUAGUAAACCUAAUUUUCCUACCCUUACUACCCAAGAGAGAGGUAGAGUUCUCGAUAGAUUUAAUUCCCGAAACAGAACCCAUCUCUAUGGCUCCUUAUAUAAUGGCCUCGUUUGAUUUACUUGAACUUAAAAAGCAACUAGAAGACAUGAUGAGCAAGCAAUUUAUUAGGCCAAGUGUAUCUCCGUUGGGUGCUCUAGUGUUAUUUUUGAAGAAAAGGGAUUGAAGCAUGAGAUUAUGUGUAGAUUACAGACAAGUCAACAAAGUGGCUAUUAAGAACAAAUACCCACUUCCUCGAAUUGAUGACCUAAUGUAUCAAUUAAAAGGAGCGUCAAUCUUCUCUAAGAUCAAUUUACGAUCAGGUUAUCAUCAGAUCCGAGUUAGAAAGUAAGAUAUCCUAAAGAAUGCCUUCCGUAUCCGAUAUGGAUAUUAUGAAUACCUUGUAAUACCUUUCAGAGUCACGAAUGCUCCAGUUGUAUUCAUGGAAUACAUGAACCAGAUCUUCUGACCAUUCUUAGAUAAGUUCGUUGUAGUAUUCAUUGACGACAUCUUAAUAUAUUCUAAGACCACAAAAGAACAUGUUGAACAUUUGAAGACUAUUCUAAACAUGUUGAAGGAGAGGCAGUUGUAUGUCAAAUUAUCGAAAUGUGAAUUCUAGUGCGAAGAAGUACAUUUUUUGGGUCGUUGAAUCACACAAAAUGGUAUUGCAAUUGACCAAACCAAGGUAGGAGCUUUAUUACAAUAGGAAAGUCCUCAAUUCGUGACAGAGAUUACAAGUUUCCUCAGAUUAGAAGGCUACUAUAGAUGAUUCCUAGAAGUCUUUUCUAAAUUGGCUUUGCCUCUAACCAAGUUGAAUCGAAAGGGACAAACUUUUGAGUGGUCACUUCAGUGUGAGAAUAGCUUCCAUGAACUGAAGAAAAUAUUAUUAUUCAUCCCCAGUUCUUAUACUUCCAGAUCCAAACGAUGGAUUCGAGGUGUAUUGUGAUGCUUCCAAGUCGAGCCUCAGAUGUAUAUUAAUGCAAGAUAAAAGAGUAGAAGCUUAUGCAUCUCGACAACUUAGACCGCAUGAAGAGAAUUACCCUACCCAAGAUUUAGAAUUGGCAGCAGUAGUGUUCGCUUUGAAAAUAUGGAGACUUUAAUUGUAUGGGUCGAAGUUUGAAGUAUUCAGUGACAUAAGAGUUUAAAAUAUAUGUUCGGUCAAAAGGAAUUGAACAUGAGGCAACAUAGAUAGGUUGAAUUCUUGAAGGACUACGAUUUUGACCUCCAACAUCAUCCAGGAAAAGCAAAUGUGAUAGCAGAUACGUUAAGCUGAAAAUCAUUACAUGUAGCAAGAAUGAUGGUUAAAGAAUUGGAACUAUUAGAAUAUUUCAGAGAUAUGAACAUGGAUGUAUGUCUUCUAGAAGAAAAAAUAGUUUUGGGAAUAAUGAAAAUCAAGAAUUUGAGCCCACGAUUCAUCAGACCCUAUCAAGUUAUUGAAAGAGUUGGACGUAUAUUGGAUAGCUUUACCCCCAUCACUAUCCAACCUUCAUGACGUGUUUCACGUAUCUUAACUCAAGAAAUAUAUACCAUAUUUCUCCCAUGUGAUUGAAUUGGAUAAUCUUCCUUUAAAGGAGAACCUGACCUUUGAAGCAACCCCUAUUAAUUAGCAUAGAUAGGAAGGAUAAGCAACUCAGAGGAAGAGAAAUUCCUCAGGUAAAAGUAUUAUAGAGUAAGAACCAAGAUAAUGACGCAACGUGGGAACUAGAGAGUGGGAUGCAUAAUUCAUAUCCCUAUCUCAUCGGUAAGUAAAUCGUGCCCAAAUUUCAAAGACAAUAUUUCUCAAAGGGUGGGAGUAAUGCCACAUCCCUCUUUUUAGCUCUCUACUUAGGUAGAUAUAGGAUAGGUAGGAUAUAUGUAUAUAUAUGUGUCGAUAUAUGCUUGCUUUUAUAUUUGUGUUAAUUAUAGAAAAUAUGUAUAUAUUCUCUAGGUAUGUUAUAUGAGUUGCUCAGAUGAGGACUAGCUUACUUGAAUGACAAGUAGCCAAUCAAUGGGACUUACUAGAGAAGUGAGGAAUUUGAUUUCUCAUUAAGGAGCUAUAUAAAUAUAUUUCUAGUAUAGGAGUAAGUUUUUAUAUGAGUUGAGGAUGGGGAAAAUAAGCCAAUUUGGUCAUACGUUGCAAAACCAUCCAAAUUUUAGGAUUACCCGUUAUUGGUUAAGUUUAUCGUUACGAAAGCUCGAUCGGUAUGGCAUGAGCGACUUUAUAACCUAUGUGACUUCUCGAUAAGUCAUUAGGAUUGAGUUGUAAAAAUUAGGUUUUCAUUGUAAACUUUUGUGAAGAAGAUAUUGUUCCUGACAUUGACACAGUUUUGAUGAAGUGACAAACAUCAAAUAAAGAAGAAAAUGAAGAAUACUUUUAAACACAAUAAAAAUAAAGCUUCAAUGAAUUAGAAUCUAAGAUAUUAGGUACUUCUAUACUUAUAUCCUAUUACAUACAAAUAGUAGUAAUGCUCAAAAGUAUUUUAAGAGAAAAUUGAAACCUACAAGUAUAAAUGAAAACAAUUUUCAAAAUAUUGUGUAAUAGGUUACUAUGACCAAGUAACAAGUUAACAAAACUAAGUAGCAGGUUACAUGAGUGAGAAACGAGUUACCCAACAAAAACUAAACAUGGUAAUUGAUUACACAUUGCAGUAAUCAGGUAUUCAGUUAAACAAAAUACUUGGGUAAUCGAUUACAUCAUGUGAGUAUCGAUUACACUGUAUGACAAUUAGUUAUUCAGUGGACAUAACGUUUGGGUAAACGAUUACAACCUUUGGGUAAUCAAUUACACUGUGUGAUAAUCAAUUACUCAGUUGAACAGAAUGUUUGGAUAAUCGAUUACGUCAAUGCUGUAAUCGAUUACUGAGAGUUGUUGCACUAGUUUUCAGAUUCAAACUGCACAAGCUUUCACUCCAAACGAAAUGGUCUCAUUCCAAUCAAUUCCUACCUUUUCAUUGAGGUGCUAUGGCUGAUCGAAAAGCCUAUUUAAAGGCAUUGAAACUCACAACUAAAAAACAACUCAUACACACAAUUUAAACUUUUCUGAAAUACUUGUUUUGCAUUUUUUGCAAGUUGUUCUUAACUUUCAGAUUAUAUUUUCUGAUGUUGCUUCAAGUGUAGUUUUCAAAGAUAUUCAAACUUUUUGAGCAUUAUUAUUAAGUGUGUAUAAAGGGUUAUUGGAUUGCAAGAGUUCAUAGGUUCAAAUCUUGUAAAGGCAAUCCUUGUCAUAGUUAAAAUUUCUUCAUUCAAAUUGUUGAAUUACUCUCUCUCACAAGAGUGUGAUAAGAAAUGGGAUAGAGUCACUUGGAAAAUGUUUUUUCCAAAUAGUGAUAUAGGUAUUAGAGAGUGAGUAAGGUACAAGGAAAUCUUGGGGUGAGAAAUUGUAAUUGAUACUAUUAAUAUCUAGUGAAGAAAUCUCAUAUACUACAAGAGUACUGGACAUAACCUUAGGUGGACAAGAAGGUGAAACAGUACAAAAAUCUGUGAGUAUUAUCUUUUCCCUUAUCUCUAUAAAUUUGUUUGUUAUUUUUCUGCAUAACCUUUUCCACUACUGCUAACUCGUAUAAUUGUAGAAAAAUCUGUCAAAGUUUUAAGACAACUAAUUCACUCACCUCUUAGUUGUCAUCUCAGUUACAAUUGGCACCAAAGUUUUUUUGAGUAAUUUAUUCUCAAAUCUAAUCAUGCAUCUAAGAUGGCUGCAAGAUCAUUUCUGGGAGAAGGUUCCAACAUCAACCGUCCUCCAAGUUUUGUUGGAGAAUGUUAUGACUUCUGGAAAAUAAGAAUAAAAAUCUUUAUAGAAUCUCAAGAUCUGGACAUUUGAAAUGCGAUUGAGGAAGGACCCUAUGAACCCGGAAGUACCCGACCUGUGUUCUCGUAAAAUCUUUGUUUUCUAGGACCCCGAGCCUGAUGUGCUUUUAGUCAAACAUUUCAGGACCCUAAGCCUGUUGUGAAUUUCCGAGUUCCAGCAGUACCCGACCUGAGUUCUCGUACUACAAUAUUUUCUUUUUAGUACUUCGAGUCUGAUGUGUUUUCAAUCAAACUUUCCAGGACCCCGAACCUGAUGUGAAUUUCCGAGUUCUGGCAGUAACCAACAUGUGUUCUCAUACUUAUUUAUUGCCUCGAGUUCUAACAGAAUCUCUAUGUGUUCUCAUUCUAAUUGCGACAUUGUGUUCAUUGUGUCAGCGUUGACAAAAUUAAUGUUCAUUUAUUUACUAAUUAUUUACUACAAUAGCAUACAAACAUUUGUUUUCUUGCUAUCAAGUAAACAACUAUUAAAAUGGGUAGUUGCGAACAACCAAUUUUGUUGACCUAUUUCAAAAAAUAAAAAUAUGCAAAAUUUCAAAACAACGAAAUAUUCUAAAAGAGCACUUUUUAUGUUUUAGGACUAAUUGUACCUCCUUUAAUUGAUAAUUUUUUAACGCACAGUUAGAAAACCUUUAGUUUCUCACUUGUUAAAGUUUUAAUUAAAAUUAAAAUCAUAUUGAUUGAAUGUUACAAAACAGCCAAAGAGCAUAUGAUAUCUAAGAGGGAGAAGAAAUCAAAUAUCUCUCUUCUGUUCCAACCAAGAGAAACACUUGAUAACAUAACUCCAAAAACAACUGCCCAACAGAAAACGUUACUAAAAUGAGAAAAGAAAGAGUCAAUACAGAAGUGACAUAAAAUGAGAAUUAGAGUGCCAAAGAAAGCUUACACAUAUGUUAUCUUACACUUUGUGUUACUAUGUCUCAUGUGCAUGUGAUUGGUCAGAAAAAUAUAUUUAAGUUACAAUUUAAUUAUUAAAUAUUUUUCUGACCAAUCAUAAGUCCAUGAUACAUGGAGUGAAACAAAAUAUGAGACAACAUAUGUACUCCGCAAAGGGGCAUAGGAAAAACACACAAAAAAUUGAGAAAAAAAGGAGUGAAACAUGAAACAAGCAAUAAGAGAGUAACAUCAACACCAUUAUCAACCAUUUCAAAGAAACCCAACCAGUGACUUCAUAUCUUUACAUUCCCACCAAUCAUCAUAUAUUAUCUUCUAGUCUCUCUUCAAUUCUCACACUCAUAUACACACUCAAGAUAACAGAACACACACACAUUAUAUACACACAAAAUGGCUAUCACAUAGAACACACGUAACACAGCACGACAUAAAAUAGUAAUCAGAGACACUAUGUCAAACUAGAAAGGAGCAUCGGCAUUAAGGAUAAAAAAAGAGAAAUGUGAAAGGAUCCCUAAGAUGAAAACGAAGAUUAACCAGAAACAAGAAGGCGACAUUUAAAGGUCAAAGAGAAAGGUAAACUCAGGUAAGCUACUCAUCUUACUCAUUCAAGUAGUUACAAACAGAAAUGUAAUUUUUCAUUAUGUAUCCUGAAUCUCAAAGAAGAUACCCCUCAUAUAUUCAUAUAAUUCAUAUCUAUAUCAUAAAUGGAGGACUGAAUCUAUAGCAUAUAUAUAGGGCUUCUCAUAUAUCCAAAGUUAGAUUGUAUAGAACAUACUUGGAAGGGCCAUUGCUGUCCCAAAGAGGGAAACCAAUUAUGUGUAGCUGGUGGUCCGGCGAGAAGGCAGAAAUGGUUUCCCCCACUGGUGGAACCUCACUGGCUCGCUGCCAUAGGGGCCUCUGACCCUCUAUAGACCGGUUCAGAACCUAUCCCAAACUCAUCCCCAACGAAUAAAACUGUCACCUUGUAUAGCGUCCAUGCCAUGAGAUUUGCUUGCGGUUGAGCAACCAUUGUAAACCACCGCGAAUAACUACCAAAAGAAGUCGUCCUCGCCGAUGGUGGAAGAGAACUAGUUGUUAUCACCGGAGAAGAGAAGAAAAGCGGAAUAGAGGAGAAGAGAACCACCACGAAUCACCAAGAGACUUCGAAAACAAGACAAGAUCGUGGAGUUAUGUCAUCGACGAGACAUUUUCAGUUGGCUUGGCUCCGGCCUCCAUGCUGGAACCACUGUCAUCGUUGCAAGAAAGGGGAAGAUAGUGAGAUUAGGGAUUUGGUUCCCUUUUCUUUAGAUGGCAUGAAGGUAUGGGGUU